This 107-nucleotide small RNA is filed under the name Marmota monax (woodchuck). Lineage: Eukaryota; Metazoa; Chordata; Mammalia; Rodentia; Sciuridae. The record is from RNAcentral.
ACCAGGCGAGGUGGCACACGCCUGUCAUCCCAGUGGCUCAGGAGGUUGAGGCAGGAGGAUCGUGAGUUCAAAGCCAGCCUCAGCAACUCAGUGAGACCCUGUCUCUG